CUAGCAUAUCAAUAAGCGGAGGAAAAGAAACCAACAGGGAUUGCCCCAGUAACGGCGAGUGAAGCGGCAACAGCUCAAAUUUGAAAUCUGGCCUUCCGGCCCGAGUUGUAAUUUGCAGAGGAUGCUUUUGGUGAGGCACCUUCCGAGUCCCCUGGAAUGGGGCGCCAUAGAGGGUGAGAGCCCCGUAUGGUAGGACGCCGAACCUCUGUAAAGCUCCUUCGACGAGUCGAGUAGUUUGGGAAUGCUGCUCUAAAUGGGAGGUAAAUUUCUUCUAAAGCUAAAUACCGGCCAGAGACCGAUAGCGCACAAGUAGAGUGAUCGAAAGAUGAAAAGCACUUUGAAAAGAGGGUUAAAAAGUACGUGAAAUUGUUGAAAGGGAAGCGCUUGUGACCAGACUUGCGCCGGGCGGAUCAUCCAGCGUUCUCGCUGGUGCACUCCGCCCGGUUCAGGCCAGCAUCGGUUUUCGCCGGGGGACAAAGGCUUCGGGAACGUGGCUCCUUUCGGGGAGUGUUAUAGCCCGUUGCGUAAUACCCCGGCGGGGACCGAGGACCGCGCUUCGGCAAGGAUGCUGGCGUAAUGGUCAUCAGCGACCCGUCUUGAAACACGGACCAAGGAGUCAAGCAUUAGUGCGAGUGUUUGGGUGUAAAACCCGCACGCGUAAUGAAAGUGAACGUAGGUGAGAGCUUCGGCGCAUCAUCGACCGAUCCUGAUGUUUUCGGAAGGAUUUGAGUAGGAGCAUUAACGCUUGGACCCGAAAGAUGGUGAACUAUGCUUGAAUAGGGUGAAGCCAGAGGAAACUCUGGUGGAGGCUCGCAGCGGUUCUGACGUGCAAAUCGAUCGUCAAAUUUGAGUAUAGGGGCGAAAGACUAAUCGAACC
Molecule: ribosomal RNA, 877 nt
Filed under: Pyricularia angulata
Lineage: Eukaryota; Fungi; Ascomycota; Sordariomycetes; Magnaporthales; Pyriculariaceae
Description: eukaryotic LSU rRNA
Rfam family: Eukaryotic large subunit ribosomal RNA
Source: RNAcentral